GCUCCCUUCAGCAGCACAUAUACUAAAAUUGGAACAAUACAGAGAAGAUUACCAUGGCCCCUGUGCAAGGAUGACACACAAAUUCAUGAAGGGCUCCGUAUUUUU
This 105-nucleotide small nuclear RNA is filed under the name Rhinolophus ferrumequinum (greater horseshoe bat). The record is from RNAcentral. Lineage: Eukaryota; Metazoa; Chordata; Mammalia; Chiroptera; Rhinolophidae.